RNAcentral lists this long non-coding RNA (624 nucleotides) under Malus domestica (apple). RNAcentral's name for it is "long non-coding RNA (MDOM_LNC018729)". Lineage: Eukaryota; Viridiplantae; Streptophyta; Magnoliopsida; Rosales; Rosaceae. The record is from RNAcentral.
AACUGAAUGUAAUCGAAUCAAAUUGCAAGCAUGAACAUGGUUUCGAAUUACCCCCCUAACCAAGGGGGGUUUAGUUCCUCAUACUUGCAAAGCAAAGAUACAUAAAUUUAGAAAUUAAAAUCCAAAGAAAGAAAACACCUAGAACGCUCCAACUUGGCAGCAAGCUCAUCAACGAAUUCUCCUUCCUCCUUGCUGCGGCAGAGAACUUUAGAACAGGUUUUUAGGGUUAUUUGAGGUGUAGAAUGGAUGGGGAAUGGUAUGGAAAGGUUUAGGGUUGAUGGGGGUACGGCUAGGGAUGAUUUUGGGCAGAAUUUUGGGACUUUGGUGUUGGAAAGGUGCGGCAGAAAUCAAGGGCAGAUUUCUGGCGUGAAUGAUUGUGUAUGGGAGAUGAUAUUCUGAUCUAGGGGUUAUAAAUGAGUAUAUAUAGGCAUCCAAAACCCUAGGGUAAAUCAGAUUAGGGUUUCUAGAAGCCCAAAUCCACUAAGAAAUUAGGUUAAAACAAUCAGAUUUUUAGUGGGAAUAAGGCCUAAGGUGCGGCUAGGGUUAGGGUUUAGAGAUGGGCCUUCUAGAACGCCUUGCAAGGCAAGGAAAUCAGAUAUUCUAGAGGCCUAGGUGCGGCUAGGG